Molecule: ribosomal RNA, 201 nt
Filed under: uncultured Lactobacillus sp.
Lineage: Bacteria; Bacillati; Bacillota; Bacilli; Lactobacillales; Lactobacillaceae
Description: partial 16S ribosomal RNA
Rfam family: Bacterial small subunit ribosomal RNA
Source: RNAcentral
UGCUAAUACCGGAUAACAAUAGAUGAUGCCUAUCAACUGUUUAAAAGAAUGGUUCUGCUAUCACUCUUGGAUGGACCUGCGGUGCAUUAGCUAGUUGGUAGGGUAACGACCUACCAAGGCGAUGAUGCAUAGCCGAGUUGAGAGACUGAUCGGCCACAUUGGGACUGAGACACGGCCCAAACUCCUACGGGAGGCACAGCC